Molecule: ribosomal RNA, 1950 nt
Filed under: Klebsiella aerogenes
Lineage: Bacteria; Pseudomonadati; Pseudomonadota; Gammaproteobacteria; Enterobacterales; Enterobacteriaceae
Description: bacterial LSU rRNA
Rfam family: Bacterial large subunit ribosomal RNA
Source: RNAcentral
UUAAGCGACUAAGCGUACACGGUGGAUGCCCUGGCAGUCAGAGGCGAUGAAGGACGUGCUAAUCUGCGAAAAGCGUCGGUAAGGUGAUAUGAACCGUUACAGCCGGCGAUGUCCGAAUGGGGAAACCCAGUGCAAUUCGUUGCACUAUCGUUAACUGAAUACAUAGGUUAACGAGGCGAACCGGGGGAACUGAAACAUCUAAGUACCCCGAGGAAAAGAAAUCAACCGAGAUUCCCCCAGUAGCGGCGAGCGAACGGGGAGCAGCCCAGAGUCUGAAUCAGCUUGUGUGUUAGUGGAACGGUCUGGAAAGUCCGACGGUACAGGGUGAUAGUCCCGUACACCAAAAUGCACAGGCUGUGAACUCGAAGAGUAGGGCGGGACACGUGGUAUCCUGUCUGAAUAUGGGGGGACCAUCCUCCAAGGCUAAAUACUCCUGACUGACCGAUAGUGAACCAGUACCGUGAGGGAAAGGCGAAAAGAACCCCGGCGAGGGGAGUGAAAAAGAACCUGAAACCGUGUACGUACAAGCAGUGGGAGCACCUUCGGGUGUGACUGCGUACCUUUUGUAUAAUGGGUCAGCGACUUAUAUUCUGUAGCAAGGUUAACCGUAUAGGGGAGCCGCAGGGAAACCGAGUCUUAACUGGGCGUUAAGUUGCAGGGUAUAGACCCGAAACCCGGUGAUCUAGCCAUGGGCAGGUUGAAGGUUGGGUAACACUAACUGGAGGACCGAACCGACUAAUGUUGAAAAAUUAGCGGAUGACUUGUGGCUGGGGGUGAAAGGCCAAUCAAACCGGGAGAUAGCUGGUUCUCCCCGAAAGCUAUUUAGGUAGCGCCUCGUGAAUUCAUCUUCGGGGGUAGAGCACUGUUUCGGCUAGGGGGUCAUCCCGACUUACCAACCCGAUGCAAACUACGAAUACCGAAGAAUGUUAUCACGGGAGACACACGGCGGGUGCUAACGUCCGUCGUGAAGAGGGAAACAACCCAGACCGCCAGCUAAGGUCCCAAAGUCACAGUUAAGUGGGAAACGAUGUGGGAAGGCACAGACAGCCAGGAUGUUGGCUUAGAAGCAGCCAUCAUUUAAAGAAAGCGUAAUAGCUCACUGGUCGAGUCGGCCUGCGCGGAAGAUGUAACGGGGCUAAACUGUGCACCGAAGCUGCGGCAGCGACACUUAGGUGUUGUUGGGUAGGGGAGCGUUCUGUAAGCCUGCGAAGGUGGCCUGUGAGGGUUGCUGGAGGUAUCAGAAGUGCGAAUGCUGACAUAAGUAACGAUAAUGCGGGUGAAAAGCCCGCACGCCGGAAGACCAAGGGUUCCUGUCCAACGUUAAUCGGGGCAGGGUGAGUCGACCCCUAAGGCGAGGCCGAAAGGCGUAGUCGAUGGGAAACAGGUUAAUAUUCCUGUACUUGGUGUUACUGCGAAGGGGGGACGGAGAAGGCUAUGUUAGCCGGGCGACGGUUGUCCCGGUUUAAGCAUGUAGGCGGAGGUUCCAGGUAAAUCCGGUACCUUUUAACGCUGAGGUGUGAUGACGAGGCACUACGGUGCUGAAGUAACAAAUGCCCUGCUUCCAGGAAAAGCCUCUAAGCAUCAGGUAACAUUGAAUCGUACCCCAAACCGACACAGGUGGUCAGGUAGAGAAUACCAAGGCGCUUGAGAGAACUCGGGUGAAGGAACUAGGCAAAAUGGUGCCGUAACUUCGGGAGAAGGCACGCUGAUAUGUAGGUGAAGCCCCUGCGGGUGGAGCUGAAAUCAGUCGAAGAUACCAGCUGGCUGCAACUGUUUAUUAAAAACACAGCACUGUGCAAACACGAAAGUGGACGUAUACGGUGUGACGCCUGCCCGGUGCCGGAAGGUUAAUUGAUGGGGUUAUCCGUAAGGAGAAGCUCUUGAUCGAAGCCCCGGUAAACGGCGGCCGUAACUAUAACGGUCCUAAGGUAGCGAAAUUCCUUGUCGGGU